This 635-nucleotide ribosomal RNA is filed under the name Rhizobiaceae bacterium S1. RNAcentral's name for it is "bacterial SSU rRNA". It matches the Rfam family "Bacterial small subunit ribosomal RNA", at positions 92 to 762 of the family's 1533-position model. Lineage: Bacteria; Pseudomonadati; Pseudomonadota; Alphaproteobacteria; Hyphomicrobiales; Rhizobiaceae. The record is from RNAcentral.
AGAGUGGCAGACGGGUGAGUAACGCGUGGGAAUCUACCGUGCCCUACGGAAUAGCUCCGGGAAACUGGAAUUAAUACCGUAUACGCCCUUCGGGGGAAAGAUUUAUCGGGGUAUGAUGAGCCCGCGUUGGAUUAGCUAGUUGGUGGGGUAAAGGCCUACCAAGGCGACGAUCCAUAGCUGGUCUGAGAGGAUGAUCAGCCACAUUGGGACUGAGACACGGCCCAAACUCCUACGGGAGGCAGCAGUGGGGAAUAUUGGACAAUGGGCGCAAGCCUGAUCCAGCCAUGCCGCGUGAGUGAUGAAGGUCUUAGGAUUGUAAAGCUCUUUCACCGGAGAAGAUAAUGACGGUAUCCGGAGAAGAAGCCCCGGCUAACUUCGUGCCAGCAGCCGCGGUAAUACGAAGGGGGCUAGCGUUGUUCGGAAUUACUGGGCGUAAAGCGCACGUAGGCGGAUAUUUAAGUCAGGGGUGAAAUCCCGCAGCUCAACUGCGGAACUGCCUUUGAUACUGGGUAUCUUGAGUAUGGAAGAGGUUAGUGGAAUUGCGAGUGUAGAGGUGAAAUUCGUAGAUAUUCGCAGGAACACCAGUGGCGAAGGCGGCUAACUGGUCCAUAACUGACGCUGAGGUGCGAAAGCGU